UGUUCCUUUUCAUUACACGAUGGCGUAUGAUUCAAUAUAAAGUUUUAAACGCUGUUUAUUGCUUGAAAUUUGUUUUCUUUAGAUUUUUGACGAAUUAUGCGGGAUUUUGCCGGAUUAUGCGGAAAUCGUUCGAUUGUGCGGAAAAAGGCAAAUUAUGCGGGUCCGCACCCGCGCAUCCUGUCAGAAGCCCUGCACAGAGCUUCACUUGAACACAUGAAUAUUCCAAAUCGUUCCAUAAUAUGAAAUCAAGGCUUACCCCGUGUAACAGAGAAUUAGAAACUGGAGUAAUAUUGGAUAUACUGUAUGUAACUAAUUAGGCCAGAAGCAAUGAUAUCAAGCAAGUGAAGACCAAAGUGAAUGGCACAAGCAUUAAGCAUGAAUACAGAUAAAACAAGAUUUUAAUAAUGUAAAGCAGCUUAUCUUAAUUGUAUAUUCUUGGUGUUCACCUACAUCAUCAUGCAUUUCAAAAGUGUAAGUUAUUCACAUUAUGACAUUAAAGUUUCAUAUAAUCUUGUAAA
Actinia tenebrosa (Australian red waratah sea anemone) is the source of this 518-nucleotide long non-coding RNA. RefSeq lists it as uncharacterized. The record is from RefSeq and is a predicted model, not a curated record. Lineage: Eukaryota; Metazoa; Cnidaria; Anthozoa; Actiniaria; Actiniidae.